CAAAGAGCUUUAUUGUUCAAAGUUGCAAUAUUUAAUUGGAGAUAAAGAAAGCAGAUAAACUAAAAAAAAUGCUAUAUCUAUUCAUGACACGAAUAACUCAUGAUUCAUUUCAAUAUGGUAGUAACAUGUUUGAAGCACAUUAGUGGAUGAAGCAAGCUUAAAAUGGAUUCUGUAGGACAUACCACUGAAAGUAAUGAUUUAUGUCUUUUGUGAUGGAAAAUACAUCCAUAAAAUCGGCGGAUGAAGGACAAAGAAAGCUCAUUCUCCUUUAAUUUCUCACUUAUUCAGUCCUUUGUAGUAUUAGUGUGUAAAGAAAAGAGAAGGGAUGGAGCCAAUACUUAGAAAAAUAAACCUACAACUUCAUUGUACACGGAACACUAGACAAAAUUUUUUCAAAUCUUGAAUAUCAUGCUUAAACACAAAUCAAUUCAUAAGGCCCAAAACGUGAUUCCUAAUUGAAGUAACCAAGACUAAACAACAAAACAAUUACAUAUACCUUCAAAUACCACUCCUAAAUGACGAUUUCCAAAUUCAGAUAUUGGACCUCAAACCAAUCAAUUCUCCCUUAGCUCAAUCGCUCAAACAGACUUAACAAAAUGCCACAACCCAAGCAUGACAGCAUGUGUAUUCAAAACAGAAGAGAUUCAUAAUAACUUCAUUUUUGUUCGUACGAGUUGCAGCCAACAAGUCUUAAACAAAUGAUCCAUAUCAAUUUAUGAUUAGUCUCGACAUUCUUACCUCUACUUCAGUGAGUGAACAUUUCAUUAACAAACAAUCUAGUUCAGAACUAUUGUGAACUUACUUAAUGCUCAAUUAGUAGUGCAACACAAAACAUGUUGACAUUUAGUCACUAACAUACUGAUUUUAUAACAAAACAACAUCAAUAGAACAACACUAGUUAAUGACUAAUUCUAUAUAUUUUUUAAAAAGAGCAAAAAGAAAUUACUAACAGAUAACAAUAAGAUGACAAAUCUGGAAAUUGAGCACAAGGAAUACAGAGAAUUGAACGCAUUCAUAGGGCCAACAAUCACAAAUAUUCAUUUAUAUUCAAAAGAGGAUUUCAGAUAAAUGUAUACGUACCAAAACAGCUGAAAGUAAACAAAAGACAACCAGCAAAGGUUUGAAAUAGAAGGUAAGGUCUAGCAACAGAAACAACAACGAGCAGCAAGCUUCUGCAACCUAGAUGUCACUCAAAAGUUCCCAAAAAUUGAAAUAACAGAGUAGAAAUUAAAAUAACCUUCAAAUCCUUUAAUUUUAAGUUUUUUCGUUCUCUUUUAGUUCUGUCCUUGUUCCCCAGCGAGAAGCAACAGAUGGAGCUCGGGAGAUAGUCCACUUCAGCCAAAUUAAAAGUAAAUCACAGCAAAUGGAGCUCAGAAAAUAGACGUCGGUUCUUUGAUUUAUGAGAGAUGAGUGUUUUUCUUCAGAUUUCAAAAUACAAUUGUUUAGAUCUAGAAAUUUCCUUGCCGAGAUCUUUUUUUUUUGUUUUUUGUGUCAGUCCCCCUUAUGGUCAGAUGAGCGUGUUUCUAUGGGAGCUAGGGCGUGGAAAUCCCAUCAUUCUUGUUGUGUGUGUUCUUAGGAAAAAAAAUGGGGAAAUUCGCGUGUCCCCUUCUUCCAUCUGAUCUCUGUAUUUGUAGGUGAAGGAGUGAAGAAGAAGGGUUGAAAAUUGGGGAAUGAGCCAUGCCUUUCCCGUGUCUCUAAGGGGAGGGUAUCAGCUAAAUGGGAUUUGGGUGAUUUUUG
This 1737-nucleotide long non-coding RNA is filed under the name Nicotiana benthamiana. RNAcentral's name for it is "long non-coding RNA (NBEN_LNC022245)". Lineage: Eukaryota; Viridiplantae; Streptophyta; Magnoliopsida; Solanales; Solanaceae. The record is from RNAcentral.